This 32-nucleotide non-coding RNA is filed under the name Rattus norvegicus (Norway rat). Lineage: Eukaryota; Metazoa; Chordata; Mammalia; Rodentia; Muridae. The record is from RNAcentral.
UGGUGUUAGCAAGGUUCUCUCAAGAGCACCCU